UACGUAGGCAGCAAGCGUUGUUCGGAGUUACUGGGCGUAAAGGGUGUGUAGGCGGUUGUUUAAGUUUGGUGUGAAAUCUCCCGGCUCAACUGGGAGGGUGCGCCGAAUACUGAAUGACUAGAGUGUGGGAGAGGUGAGUGGAAUUCCUGGUGUAGCGGUGAAAUGCGUAGAUAUCAGGAGGAACACCGGUGGUGUAGACGGCUCACUGGACCAUAACUGACGCUGAGACACGAAAGCGUGGGUGGCAAACAGG
Molecule: ribosomal RNA, 253 nt
Filed under: uncultured bacterium
Lineage: Bacteria
Description: partial 16S ribosomal RNA
Rfam family: Bacterial small subunit ribosomal RNA
Source: RNAcentral